Non-coding RNA from Zea mays, 135 nucleotides. NCBI's taxonomy places the organism in Eukaryota, Viridiplantae, Streptophyta, Magnoliopsida, Poales, Poaceae. The record is from Rfam.
AGGCAGCCCCUUUGUCCGAUUCCAAUGGCAAUGGAGGUGUUGCGUUGCUCGCAGAACAAACCUUGUGCUCUUCAGAUCGGCUGAGUGGGGAGAUCUCCCCUCGUUGAGGCCAGUCUAGUAACUCUCAAGAACAUC